GAACAAACACUAGGUAAUCAUUACUAAUUCCCCAUAUUAUUCUUUCUACAUCCUUUUCACUUUUUAACCUACGUAAUGCCUAUUCGUAGAGCACGUUUAUAGGCAACUCUUAACCUCGUGCCUUAUAAUCAAAAAAAAGAGGAAAACACGGAGUAAAGCGAAGGCACGUCUCCUAAUUAAGUGUUUGAAGACACGUUCCUUAGGGCGACGUGUCACAACUGUAUUGGACAGAGGAAUGAUGAAGUCGUUCUCGUUUCUUUCUCUCUUCUCUUUAUCUUCUCGGUUGCUCCGCAAAGGCGACGAAAAUGGCGAUUGUUUCCCCCUCUGGGUGGAGCUCGUCGAUGUCUACAUGGUUUUCUCUCGUCGAUGAUGGACAACGGCGAUUUCUCUCUCUCGGUGCUUUCCUCGACGAAGGAAACGGCGAUUGCUCUCUCUCGGUGCUCUCGACGAAACGGCGAUUCCUCUCCCUCUUGGUGGCUUCGUCGAGGAAGGAAGACGGUGAAUUCUCAAUCGGUGGCUAUCUCUCUCUCCUGGUGGCUCUCUGAAACGGCGAUUGUUUCUGAAGGGAAUCGAAAGAUGGAUCAAGACGCAUGAUCCAGGAUUGAGCUAGAGGCGUGAAGUGGGCACAAAACCUGUCUCUUUGGCAGACAAAACCGCAAAUCGCAAAGGUUGUUUGAUCAAGAUGCUUGAUCGAGUUGGUGAGACAAAAACGAAGAUGACUACCAUCGUUCAUACAUGCUGCGUAGAUCUUUGGAGCAAAGAAGACAGAGGUCACGGGUUUGUUGUUGACAGAGUUCACGGCUGUAAAAGACAGAGGUCACGGCUGUAAAAGGUAGUGGUCAGGGGUUAAUGUUGUUGUUUUGUUUUCACGGUUGUCACGGGUUUGUCAAUCGAACAGAGGUCACGAGAGUGUUGUUUACAUGUUGUUGAUGUAAAGUAUAUUGUCUUCUUGUCAAUCGAACAGAGAUCACGAGAGUUUGUAAAGAACAAGGACUUGCUUAUAAAUUGGUUUGUAUUGUCACAAUUCUCUCCAUUCUCGUUUAAAAAAAAAUCAAACCAAGAUUAUCAUCUCAUGGCAUCUUGAAUCAAACCAAAAAUUCUAUCUCUUCUCAUCAUUCUCUCCAUUCUCGUUUAAAAAAAAAAUCAAACAUUUUUCUAUCUUGUAACCAAAGCUCAAACCAUCACUCAAACCUUUUUCUAUCUUGUAAUCAUCUCAUGGCAUCUUCGUCUGAAGACACUUAUGGUCAUCAAGAAGCUUACGAGGAUAACGAGGAUUCGUUUGAUGAAGCUUUCGAUCAAUAUUUUGAUCAACGUUUCGAUCAAGCAUUUGAGAAUUUGUGCAAUAUGUAUGGUCAUCAAAAAGGGCAAAACAAAACAAGAAAAAGACGAGAAUUUAUUGAAAGAAACCGUGAAGAAUGCCAUCUUCGAUUAUGGAAUGAUUAUUUCAGUGACACUCCAACAUAUCCUCAAAAUCCAUUUCGACGACGAUUUAUAAUGAACAAGCCAUUGUUCAUGCGUAUUGUUGAUCGCCUCUCCAAUGAAGUUCCAUUCUUUCAUCAAAAGCAAGACGUUUCCGGAAGAUUUGGUCUCUCUCAACUUCAAAAGUGUACAGCAGCUAUUCGUGUGUUGGCAUAUGGUUCUGCGCUUGAUGCGGUCGACGAAUA
Brassica napus (rape) is the source of this 1664-nucleotide long non-coding RNA. RefSeq lists it as uncharacterized. The transcript has 4 exons. NCBI's taxonomy places the organism in Eukaryota, Viridiplantae, Streptophyta, Magnoliopsida, Brassicales, Brassicaceae. The record is from RefSeq and is a predicted model, not a curated record.